RNAcentral lists this ribosomal RNA (268 nucleotides) under uncultured bacterium. RNAcentral's name for it is "partial 16S ribosomal RNA". It matches the Rfam family "Bacterial small subunit ribosomal RNA", at positions 524 to 794 of the family's 1533-position model. The record is from RNAcentral.
UACAGAGGGUGCAAACGUUGCUCGGAAUUAUUGGGCGUAAAGCGCACGUAGGCGGUUUGUUAAGUUGGAUGUGAAAGCCCUGGGCUCAACCCUGGAAGUGCAUCCAAGACUGACAAGCUAGAGUAUCGGAGGGGUCGGAGAAUCCGGUGUAGAGGUGAAAUUCGUAGAUAUCGGGAGGAACAUCUGUGGCGAAGGCGCCGACCUGGACGAAAACUGACGCUGAGGUGCGAAAGCAUGGGGAGCAAACAGGAUUAGAUACCCGUGUAGU